CUGCAGUGUCUGUUCAUGCGCAUGGUAUCAAGAGAAAAUGUCCUCAUUGUGAACUCAACUUUUUAACCCUAGCUCCGAUGCAAAUGAACCGAUGGCCCCAUCUUGAGAACUGCAGUGCUAGGCCUGCUAGGAAGGUGGGGAAGGGUUCGGGAGGAAAAACCUGCUCCGACUGUGGAGGAUCUUACAGGGAUUCCUGGAAACAUAAAAGACAGUGUACUGCAACAAAUCGAGAUAUUAAACACGUUUGCUGCUGCUGUAAGAAAGGAUUU
This is a long non-coding RNA of Eurytemora carolleeae, 269 nucleotides long. RefSeq lists it as uncharacterized. NCBI's taxonomy places the organism in Eukaryota, Metazoa, Arthropoda, Copepoda, Calanoida, Temoridae. The transcript has 3 exons. The record is from RefSeq and is a predicted model, not a curated record.